UCCAUCGUGGUGUAGUGGCUAACAUUGCUGUCUUUCAUGAUGCGAUAACGUAUACUGAGCACAGCAGCCCGGGGUUCGAUUCCCCGCGAUGGAA
Molecule: non-coding RNA, 94 nt
Organism: Dendrothele bispora CBS 962.96
Lineage: Eukaryota; Fungi; Basidiomycota; Agaricomycetes; Agaricales
Source: the annotation of a GenBank genome assembly